ACAGAGGGUGCGAGCGUUGUCCGGAAUCACUGGGCGUAAAGGGUGCGUAGGUGGCUUGGUAAGCGUGUGGUGAAAGUCCGGGGCUCAACCCCGGAUCUGCCGUGCGAACUGCUGAGCUCGAGCAAUGUAGAGGCAGGUGGAAUUUCGGGUGUAGCGGUGGAAUGCGUAGAUAUCCGAAAGAACACCAGUGGCGAAGGCGGCCUGCUGGGCAUUCGCUGACACUGAGGCACGACAGCGUGGGGAGCAAACAGGAUUAGAUACCCUGGUAGUCCACGCCGUAAACGAUGGGUACUAGGUGUCUGGGGGAGCGACCCCCUGGGUGCCGGCGCUAACGCAUGAAGUACCCCGCCUGGGGAGUACGGCCGCAAGGCUG
This 373-nucleotide ribosomal RNA is filed under the name uncultured bacterium. RNAcentral describes it as "bacterial SSU rRNA". It matches the Rfam family "Bacterial small subunit ribosomal RNA", at positions 525 to 896 of the family's 1533-position model. The record is from RNAcentral.